Molecule: long non-coding RNA, 911 nt
Organism: Octopus sinensis (East Asian common octopus)
Lineage: Eukaryota; Metazoa; Mollusca; Cephalopoda; Octopoda; Octopodidae
Exons: 2
Source: RefSeq, a predicted model, not a curated record
UAAGACAUGCAAAAAAUACAUCAAAUAAUAAAGACCUUUGCUAUGGUCUACUCUUUGGAAUCGUAUCAGGCGAUACCUGCGAAGUUACGAACAUCUUCCCAAUGACCGAGGAGUCCACCAACCAGAGAAAAUCUGACUAUCAACAAAACAUAUCCCAACUAAUGAAACAAGUCAACAUGGACUACUACCGGGCAGGAUGGUAUCAAAAUUCAUCCUCCAAGUCCUUUUAUAACGUGGACACAAUAAUAAACUGUUAUGAGUCACAAAUAGUUGCUCCUGAUUCGAUAAUGAUCACAUUUGGUACAUUCUACUCGUCAUUUUCUUAGAUUUUGAGUCUAUUUCAAAUGGGGUGUUCAAUUUCCAGGCUUUCCGACUCAGCGAUACUCUCAUGUCCAUAGCAGCCGAGUCCGAUCCUCUCCAGAGUUCUGCUUUGGCCAGUCUUACUGAUAAGGAUAUUUUUCAAGAGCUCAAAAUAGUAUACGCGUGCGACAAUCUGACCAAAAUAUUGUUGCUUGAACUUUUUGAGGACAUGAGACCUCAUCAGGUGUUUUCUGACCUUCAAAUCGCCUCAGGGUGCUGUAAGUUGGUUGAGUUUUAGAGAGGGGUUGGAAAAUGUGGUGCAGAGGGUGUUGGAGAUGGAAGCAGUGCAGCCCGACAGCAGGAUGGUGAGGGGAAUCAACAAUGACGAGGAUCAGUCCAAUAUGACUUCGAUUAGCAACAUUGUCGAUUCUAAGGCCUUUCUUAAAGUGUUGAGUGCUGGGAAGUGGAAGGAUUUCUGUUCUAGGAUUGCCAGAAUUUCUAAUCACAAUUCUGAACGAUUUGGACUUGUCAAAUCUUUUUCGGAAAUUAGCUGAAUUUAUUAAUUUUAUACCUCUAUUUGAUUUAGUUCUUCAGUAAUUUUCAUAAUUCGA